Molecule: transfer RNA, 73 nt
Rfam family: tRNA
About the family: Transfer RNA (tRNA) molecules are approximately 80 nucleotides in length. Their secondary structure includes four short double-helical elements and three loops (D, anti-codon, and T loops).
GGAGACAUAGUUUAACGGUUAAAACAUUUACCUUUUAAGUAACAUAAUGAUGGUUCGAAUCCAUCUGUUUCUA